Molecule: ribosomal RNA, 253 nt
Filed under: uncultured bacterium
Lineage: Bacteria
Description: partial 16S ribosomal RNA
Rfam family: Bacterial small subunit ribosomal RNA
Source: RNAcentral
UACGAAGGGUGCAAGCGUUACUCGGAAUUACUGGGCGUAAAGCGUGCGUAGGUGGUUCGUUAAGUCUGAUGUGAAAGCCCUGGGCUCAACCUGGGAAUGGCAUUGGAAACUGGCGACCUAGAGUGCGGUAGAGGGUAGUGGAAUUCCCGGUGUAGCAGUGAAAUGCGUAGAGAUCGGGAGGAACAUCUGUGGCGAAGGCGGAUCUCUGGGCCAUUACUGACGCUGAGGAGCGAAAGCGUGGGGAGCGAACAGG